UCACUUUAGGAUGGACCCGCGGCGUAUUAGCUUGUUGGUAAGGUAACGGCCUACCAAGGCAAUGAUACGUAGCCGACCUGAGAGGGUAAUCGGCCACAUUGGGACUGAGACACGGCCCAAACUCCUACGGGAGGCAGCAGUAGGGAAUCUUCCACAAUGGACGAAAGUCUGAUGGAGCAACGCCGCGUGAGUGAUGAAGGGUUUCGGCUCGUAAAACUCUGUUGUUGGAGAAGAACAGGUGUGAGAGUAACUGUUCACAUCUUGACGGUAUCCAACCAGAAAGCCACGGCUAACUACGUGCCAGCAGCCGCGGUAAUACGUAGGUGGCAAGCGUUGUCCGGAUUUAUUGGGCGUAAAGCGAGCGCAGGCGGUUUCUUAGGUCUGAUGUGAAAGCCUUCGGCUUAACCGGAGAAGUGCAUCGGAAACCAGGAGACUUGAGUGCAGAAGAGGACAGUGGAACUCCAUGUGUAGCGGUGAAAUGCGUAGAUAUAUGGAAGAACACCAGUGGCGAAGGCGGCUGUCUGGUCUGUAACUGACGCUGAGGCUCGAAAGCAUGGGUAGCGA
Molecule: ribosomal RNA, 564 nt
Filed under: uncultured bacterium
Lineage: Bacteria
Description: bacterial SSU rRNA
Rfam family: Bacterial small subunit ribosomal RNA
Source: RNAcentral